Molecule: non-coding RNA, 2795 nt
Organism: Mus caroli (Ryukyu mouse)
Lineage: Eukaryota; Metazoa; Chordata; Mammalia; Rodentia; Muridae
Source: the annotation of a RefSeq genome assembly
ACCUAAGCUCCUGGAAGCCAUGGACCAUCGCAAAAAAGGAGGCAGUCACUUUCAUAUUUCCCACGCAUGAGUUGUGUCAGCCAGUAAAGGAGAGUACAGUGGAAGAAGGCCUUGAGACCUGAGUCAGCAGUGGAUAUCAGCAGAACGGAACAACCAACAACCCAUGGAAGAGUGGGAAGAAUCAAAAUACCAGACUGUGGAGGGGGUCCCUCUGAUGCACAGAGUCAGCCUCAAGGAGAUGAUGGGAUAUAUCAGGAGACCUAAGAUAAGAUGAAUUUGGUCUGUCUGGAAGCUGGUAGGACCAAAUUCGCUGAGUCAGCAGAGAGGAGGUGCCCAAAGGAGCAAGAUCUCUGCAGCAGAAAUCUGCAGGACUAACAAAGCCACAACAACAGCCCCAUCUCUCUAUCCCUUGGUCCCUGGCUGUGGUGACACAUCUGGAUCCUCGGUGACACUGGGAUGCCUUGUCAAAGGCUACUUCCCUGAGCCGGUAACUGUAAAAUGGAACUAUGGAGCCCUGUCCAGCGGUGUGCGCACCGUCUCAUCUGUCCUGCAAUCUGGGUUCUAUUCCCUCAGCAGUUUGGUGACUGUACCCUCCAGCACCUGGCCCAGCCAGACUGUCACCUGCAACAUAGCCCACCCGGCCAGCAAGACUGAGUUGAUCAAGAGAAUCGAGCCUAGAAUACCCAAGCCCAGUACCCCCACAGGUUCUUCAUGCCCACCUGGUAACAUCUUGGGUGGACCAUCCGUCUUCAUCUUCCCCCCAAAGCCCAAGGAUGCACUCAUGAUCUCCCUGACCCCCAAGGUCACGUGUGUGGUGGUGGAUGUGAGUGAGGAUGACCCAGAUGUCCAUGUCAGCUGGUUUGUGGACAACAAGGAAGUACACACAGCCUGGACACAGCCCCGUGAAGCUCAGUACAACAGUACCUUCCAGGUGGUCAGUGCCCUCCCCAUCCAGCACCAGGACUGGAUGAGGGGCAAGGAGUUCAAAUGCAAGGUCAACAACAAAGCCCUCCCAGCCCCCAUCGAGAGAACCAUCUCAAAACCCAAAGGAAGAGCCCAGACACCUCAAGUAUACACCAUACCCCCACCUCGUGAACAAAUGUCCAAGAAGAAGGUUAGUCUGACCUGCCUGGUCACCAACUUCUUCUCUGAAGCCAUCAGUGUGGAGUGGGAAAGGAAUGGAGAACUGGAGCAGGAUUACAAGAACACUCCACCCAUCCUGGACUCAGAUGGGACCUACUUCCUCUACAGCAAGCUCACUGUGGAUACAGACAGUUGGUUGCAAGGAGAAAGUUUUACCUGCUCUGUGGUGCAUGAGGCUCUCCAUAACCACCACACACAGAAGAACCUGUCUCGCUCCCCUGAGCUGGAACUGAAUGAGACCUGUGCUGAGGCCCAGGAUGGGGAGCUGGAUGGGCUCUGGACGACCAUCACCAUCUUCAUCAGCCUCUUCCUGCUCAGCGUGUGCUACAGCGCCUCUGUCACCCUCUUCAAGGUGAAGAGGAUCUUCUCCUCGGUGGUGCAGGUGAAGCAGACGGCCAUCCCUGACUACAGGAACAUGAUUGGGCAAGGUGCCUAGCUUGUCUCUUCAGAAGGUGCCAGAGCUUGCUAGCCCUCUAGGACCAAGUCCAUGCUGCUGAGCAGCCAGACACACAGGUUACACUGCCUUCUCAUCUCAGCAUCCUUUGAUCUUAUGGCUCUGACUCUGCUACCCAGGUCCCUUCCACAUUUGGAGCAGCAUGUGGAAAGCAGGUUUUGCCCCAGACCAUAGCCAACAGGACCCAAGCACCACUACCACAGCCAGAACAGUGGAUAGGGUCAAAACUGCUGUGUUUCUUCUACAUGGUGUCUAGCCCUCAGCCUGGCACUCUCCCAGGAUGGCCUGAAUCACCUGCAUCCAUUUAGAUGCAGAUGAGCCUUAGAGCCAGCCCUGUCUAUACAGUCCUCUGAAAAAUGUGCUUCUCUGAGAGAAGAGGAAGUUUCCAUAUGUCUCUGAGGCUGAGAAGGUCCCAAAGGGAACUCUUUGAGAAGGACUGCCAAAGGUGACUCUAAUGGCCUUCACCCAACCAGUGCCCUGCCAUGUUUUUUCACUUCUUGGAAUGUAACAUGGGGCACCUUGUGAAGACCUCUUUUCCUGCCAUCCAUGCAACAUGAUGAAAUCUCAGAUGCAAGAUCCCAUCAGAGACACUGCUGACCCCACAGCUUGAAGACCAGGGCACUGUUACCUCAGUGGAUAACCUAGAGAGACCCUCAGAGGGCCUGAGCUUCAUAGCCUCUGUUGGGCCCUAGCAGGUGCAGGAGCCACUGAGCAAAGGCUGAGCAACCCAGAAAAGCCCGUAGGAGAAGAACAGACCCCGGUCAGUCCCAAAAGUGGUCCAGGAGCAACAUGGAGAGAGAGAGAAAGGAUGCUCAAAGAGCCAGGCAGGAAUGGGCCUUUCCUGCAGCCUGGCAUCCAGACUGGGCCACUGACAGCAGAGAAUACCAGUUAGAGUAGAUAUCCAAAGAGAGAGCCCAGGCCUGGGGCACCAAGGCUGACUGACUGCUGGCACUGGAGAAGCACUGUGGCUGUUUCUCCAUUUCAUAUCAAGGCAAAUGCCAGGCCAGAGUCCCCAGAAAAGACAAAGGAGAAAUUCAGGAAGGAAAGUUGGGUGCCUGGCUCUUAGGGGACUCUAAGAGAUGUUCACUGACAUGAAGCUUAGCUUUGCCAGCUUUUACUUUAAAUUUUAUAGAGCCCAGCUAUGUCUCUAAUGUCCCUCUUCACCUUUUUAAUAAUAAUAAAACAUCCUUCAACAUUG